Sinocyclocheilus anshuiensis is the source of this 559-nucleotide long non-coding RNA. RefSeq lists it as uncharacterized. The transcript has 2 exons. NCBI's taxonomy places the organism in Eukaryota, Metazoa, Chordata, Actinopteri, Cypriniformes, Cyprinidae. The record is from RefSeq and is a predicted model, not a curated record.
UCACUAAUUCUCCUUCACCAUCGGCAGAUCACACAAAGCGCUAAUCAUUGCUAAAGGUGUAAAAGAUGCUCACGGAGGCAAAGUCAAUCCCCCCGUCUUUGACAUGACCACAUACCUCAGGAAGAUGAACAUGUGAACAAGCCCCGCCCCCUGCCCUACUGACUCCGCCCACUUCACCUGUCGACCUGAUCUCCAUUCAUAAAGCCAGAAGAACCGCUCCACGAUCAACCAAACAUGUGCUUGAGAAGCCUCUCAUCUUCAUCAUCUUCAUCAUCCUCAUCUCGGUUUAAACAUUCCAGGAGUCUGAGAUCUCGGUUUCUUCUCCGGUCAGGCAGUGGAACGCAAACUCCUGUUAAUAUCAAACUCAUUUAUUGGUUUUAUCACUAAUUAAUUGAUUGAUUUACGGUACUAUAGUAUUUUCUGUGUUUUGGACGGGCGGAGCGUCCAGUCAAACGGUUUUAGCAUUUGUUUGUAUGAUUGUCUGUGUGAAAUCCUGCUGAACAAAACCGAGAAAUCUGACUAUAAGAUGCCAAAUAAAGAGAGAAUGAGUUUGUACGGA